CACUCACUGCUCCAGCCACUCACAGCUGUACCUCAGGAGCCAGACACCAUCUGCUUCACUCCUGCCCAGACUUUGCCACUCACACACAACAGCUGCUUCAUCUUAAGGAUCAGCGAUGUGGAACCAGCUGUACCACCACCACCACCACCACCACCAGGGGAGCCACUCACUGCCACAAGAAGGAAGGAAGCAGGAAGAAGAAGAAGAAGAAGAAGAAAAAGAAGAGGACACACAGAGAGAGAAGAGGAGGAAGAAGAAGAGGAAGGAUUUGUAAUAUGGCAGACAUCAAACCAAUGGAGCUGACCAGCCGCCCCAGAGAGCCCAGCGACCACACCCUGCAAGACAGCCUGCUCAUCCUGGGACACACACAGCCUCACCGUUCAGGCAGGAGACUGACGGGACGAGAACAACAACAACAACAACAACAACAACAAGAGGAGGAGGGGGAGGAGGGUGGUACACAGGAGUGACUGGUGGGUGUUUGGUGACCCAGGGCGUUGAGGGAAGCCAGACGCUCUCCUAUAGGGCUUCAGGCAGAUACAACUCCCUCAUCACCUGCUUCACUCCAGCCCAGACUUUGCCACUCACACCCAACAGCUUCAUCUUAAGGUGGGACUGGUUAGGUUACGUUAAGUUUAGGGUAUCUUAAAACACAGGAUAGGCGGGAACUUAGGGUAUGAAUUCAUAAAGAAUGACCUCACUUUGUUGUAUAGAAAGUCUCAUUAGUAAGGAAGCAUAGAUGAGUUUUCUGAGUCAAGACCUGUAGUAACUGUUUGGGGUUUUGUUAGGCUAUGUUGGGUUAAGUUUAGGGUAUCUUCAGACACAUGAUAGCCAGCACCUUAUGGUAUAAAUCAACAAGAGUCAAGGUCUUUAGUGUUUGUUUUGGUUUUGUUAGGUUAUGUUAAGUUAAGUUUAGGGUAUCCUCAAACACAGGAUAGCUAUCACCUUAUAGUAUAAUUCAAUGAAGAAUGACCUCAUUUCGUUGUAUAGAAAGCCUCAUUAGUAAGGAAGCAUAUAUGAAUUCUCUGAGUCAAGACCUAUAGUAACUGUUUGGGGUUUUGUUAGGUUAAGUUAAGGGUAUACCUUCAAACACAUGACAGCCAGCACCUUAUGGUAUAAAUCAACAAAGAAUGACCUCACUUUCUCCUAUCCAAAUCCUAUGCAUGUUUAGUAAGGCACCAACUUCUACUGAUACAAAUUAAUUUAUUGACAUCUUUAUUCUUUAAUGUGUGUGUCUCAGAACACUGAAGGUAAAUCUCAACGUCAAUCAUAACAAAAUCCCUUAUGCAAGAUUUAAGCAGCAUUUUCACUCUUUCAUCCCUAUACUGUCCAAAUCCCUUGUGCAAGAUUUAAGCAGCAUUUUCACUCUUUCAUCCCUAUACUGUCCAAAUCCCUUGUGCAAGAUUUAAGCAGCAUUUUCACUC
Eriocheir sinensis (Chinese mitten crab) is the source of this 1424-nucleotide long non-coding RNA. RefSeq lists it as uncharacterized. Lineage: Eukaryota; Metazoa; Arthropoda; Malacostraca; Decapoda; Varunidae. The transcript is spliced from 6 exons. The record is from RefSeq and is a predicted model, not a curated record.